This 440-nucleotide ribosomal RNA is filed under the name uncultured bacterium. RNAcentral's name for it is "partial 16S ribosomal RNA". It matches the Rfam family "Bacterial small subunit ribosomal RNA", at positions 338 to 795 of the family's 1533-position model. The record is from RNAcentral.
CCUACGGGUGGCAGCAGUUGGGAAUAUUGCACAAUGGGGGAAACCCUGAUGCAGCGACUCCGCGUGCGUGAAGAAGUAUUUCGGUACGUAACGCUCUAUCAGUAGGGAAGAAAAUGCCGGUACCUGACUAAGAAUCCCCGGCUAACUACGUUCCAGCAACCGCGGUAAUACGUAGGGGGCAAGCGUUAGCCGGAUUUACUGGGUGUAAAGGUAGCGUAGACGGCAGCGCAAGUCUGGAGUGAAAUCCCAUGGCUUAACCAUGGAACUGCUUUGGAAACUGUGCAGCUAGAGGGCAGGAGAGGUAAGCGGAAUUCCGAGUGAAGAGGUGAAAGGCGUAGAUAUUAGGAGGAACACCAGUGGCGAAGGCGGCUUACUGGACUGUAACUGACGUUGAGGCUCGAAAGCGUGGGGAGCAAACAGGAGUAGAUACCCUUGUAGUC